AACGAACGCUGGCGGCAUGCCUAACACAUGCAAGUCGAACGAGACCUUCGGGUCUAGUGGCGCACGGGUGCGUAACGCGUGGGAACCUGCCUUUAGGUUCGGAAUAACUCAGAGAAAUUUGAGCUAAUACCGGAUGAUGUCUUCGGACCAAAGAUUUAUCGCCUUUAGAUGGGCCCGCGUUGGAUUAGCUAGUUGGUGGGGUAAAGGCCUACCAAGGCGACGAUCCAUAGCUGGUCUGAGAGGAUGAUCAGCCACACUGGGACUGGGACACGGCCCAGACUCCUACGGGAGGCAGCAGUGGGGAAUAUUGGACAAUGGGCGAAAGCCUGAUCCAGCAAUGCCGCGUGAGUGAUGAAGGCCUUAGGGUUGUAAAGCUCUUUUACCCGAGAUGAUAAUGACAGUAGCGGGAGAAUAAGCUCCGGCUAACUCCGUG
Molecule: ribosomal RNA, 433 nt
Filed under: uncultured bacterium
Lineage: Bacteria
Description: partial 16S ribosomal RNA
Rfam family: Bacterial small subunit ribosomal RNA
Source: RNAcentral